GAUUUGCAUGCCACGAUCAAUUGGAGGAGAAUUGAUUCCAGCUGAUCCUGAAAUCGAGAGCACCUUUCAUCGACUACAAAGAGAUCACCGAGAAGCACAAGUACAAAUGGCUAACGAACUAAACAAUCCCAUUAUUCAGGCUAAUGAAGGAGAGGCAAUGGACGAAAAAAAAUGAGAUUUUGGGAUAUUUCUUGACUCCUCAAAUAAUUCAAAGUCAACCCAGCAUAGUGUAUCCACCGUUUGGACAGCUAAAUUUCUAGUUGAAGACCAAUGUGAUACAAUUAUUUCAAAAUGGACACCAGUUUUAUGGCAAAACCGAGGAGAAUCCACAUACACACAUAUCUCAAUUUUUGGAUAUGUGUUAACAUUUCAGAUACCAAGGGAUUUCGGAUGAUGCUAUUAGGCUAAGUCUGUUUCCACAUACGCUACGAGACAGAGCACUUGAAUGGUUGUAUUCACUUCCGAUUGCAAGUAACACUACAUGGAACGAGUUGGCACACAAAUUCUGCACAAUUUUUUUCUCCCCAGCCAAGAUAGCGAAGCUGAGACAUGACAUAUCAAUAUUCAAGGAGAAAUCAAAUCAUUUGACGAAGGUUGGAACAUAUUCAAAAACAUGCUCCGGAAGUGCCCUCAACAUGAAUUUGAUAAAAAGACCCAAAUUCGAUUCUUCUACACAGGGAUAAUUCCAUACCACAAGAGCAUGGUGGAUUCAGCAUCAGAUGGCUCAAUAUCCACACGAACAGAUGGGGCAUUGGAAUUAUUUGAGAGAAUGGCUACCACAUCAGCCAUGCGGUCUUCUGAGAGGGCGAUUCCAAAGAAAACUCCGGGUGUCUAUGAGGUGGAUACUUAUUCAGCAAUUUCUGCAAAAAUCGACUCUUUAUAUCAUAAGGUGGAAAGUAUAUCACAAGCAGCACAAGCUAAGAAGAGCAACUGUGAUGAAUGUGGAGCUGAGCAUAAAACAUCGGAGUGCCCGAUACUCAUGCAAGGAAUUGAGCAAGCAGACUAUACACAGUGGGGACAACGCCAACAAUACAAUCAAUAUGGAAAAACUUUCAAUCCCAGUUGGAUGAAGCAUUCCAACUUCUCUUGGAGCAACCAGAAUCAAAUAGGCUACAUGGACAAUAUCAACAAUAAGAGAAGAGGCCUCAAUUGGAAGAUAUGAUAGGAAAAUUAAUGGAGAAAGUCGAAGCUACUCUUCAAAAUUAAAAUGCAGUGAUCAAAAAUUUGGAAACUCAAAUGGGACAGUUGGCCAUAGCAUUGACUGGCAGAACGCCAGGUAACUUGUCGAGUAAUACAGAAAUCAAUCCCAAAGAGCAAGCCAAGGCCAUUACAACUCGAAGUGGAGUACAAUUGCUUGAAAUCCAUAUCAAGAGACCGGGUGUGAUUAGAGAGACAUCUUCCCCUGCUGAAGAAGAGACUGUUGUAAAGGAAUCAAUUUCAAAGGAAAAUUCAGAAAAGUCAUAGGAUAAGGCCAAAGUCACAGUCAACCCCUACGAGCCUCCGAUUUCUUUUCCACAGCGGUUGAAGAAUCAAAAAUUGGAGCAACAAUACAAAAAAUUUCUAGAAGUCUUCAAAAAGCUCCAUAUCAACAUCCCACUAGCCGAUGCACUAUUCUAGAUGCCUAGCUACGCGAAGUUUCUCAAAGAUAUUAUAUCAAACAAACGCAAGCUGGAAGACCAUGUGACAGUAAUGCUUACGGAGGAGUGCAGUGCCAGAAUCCAGAAAAAGCUCCCACCAAAACUGAAAGAUCUAGGGAGUUUCACUGUCCCUUGCACAAUUGGUGAUUUUUAUUUUGAUAAAGCAUUAUGUGACAGUAAUGCUUACGGAGGAAUGCAGUGCCAGAAUCCAGAAAAAGCUCCCACCAAAACUGAAAGAUCCAGGGAGUUUCACUGUCCCUUGCACAAUUGGUGAUUAUAAUUUUGAUAAAGCAUUGUGUGAUCUCGGUGCGAGUAUUAACUUGAUGCCACUCUCUAUUUUUAGGAAACUAGGAUUGGGAGAGCUUAAGGCAACCACAGUAACUCUACAGCUAGCUGAUCAAUCACUUAUACAUCCACGAGGGAUUAUUGAAGAUGUAUUGGUCAAAGUGGAUAAACUCAUAUUCCCAGCAGACUUCUUGAUUUUGGAUAUGGAAGAAGACAAGGACGUGCCUGUCAUAUUGGGACGACCAUUUUUAGCUACUGCAAGAGCCAUCAUAAAUGUGCAGCAAGGAUAAUUAACUCUGAGGUUAGGGGAGGAACAAGUCUCUUUUAAUGUUUUCAAGGCAAUGAAAUACCCAAUGAGCCUGAAAGCUAUUUCCAGAUUGAAGUGCUUGACAUAGGAAUCCCCUAUAAUUUUGAGUUGAAGAAACAGCCAAACAUUCAUGAGGCCUGUAUAGUACACUCUCCAUCCAUUCUUAUCGAUUCAAAGGAGAUUAAGGCAUGUGGAAUUUCAUACGGAUGAGGAGAGAAUGACAAAUCACUUGGAGAAAGACAGGGAUGGAAUUAGGAGGAUAACUGUAGUGCGGAACAAGACCAUAUUGAACAAACUAUGCAGGACCUCUGAAGCCAUAUUUAAAGUGCCAUAAAAUACAUGUGCCAAAAGUCGAGCUAUCGACUAUAAAAUAGCGCUGAUUGGGAAGCAACCCAACGUCUUUACCCUUUAUUUAUUUCAUUUUACAUUAGUCUAGGAGUUUUUCAAUUUUUCAACAUUUUUAUAAGUUUAGGUUAUCGUUCAUCCAUGCAUGUCAAUAAUUAGCCCAACCACAAUCCACACGAGUUCCAAUGCAUUGAGCACGAGUCAUAAGGUUGAAGUCUUGUUUUAGUCAGUCAUGAGUCAAAUUAAACAAAGUGCAUGAUUAGAGCUAAACUUUGUUGGUGAUUCACAUUUUUGUGAUAUGAACUUUAUAUUGAGAUAUAAUUUAUGCAUCUUACACGCUAAUAGUGUACACAUGCAUCUUGAAAUAAGUUUGGGGGAAUGGUGUGUCACAUGGAUUCCUUCAUGCACACCCAAGUUUAUCAAUUAUCACCAUAAGAUAUAAUACACAUACUUUGCACUUUUGUAGGAUGUCGCCAAAAAGACCUCAAUAGGAAAAGAGAAGGUCGGCUCCACAUAUGGCAUUACAGGUCCCGAUUUUCGACCACCUCCAUACUGAUCAGGGGAGUACAAGUUAUCCCAUUUCUUGUGCUUUCAGUUUAUUUUGUUCCUCAAUUAUAUGUAUUUGAACUUCUACUUUAUUUCAACAAUGAGGGCAAAAUUAUGUCUUUAAUCUUUCGUUAAUCUUACAUUGAGGAUAAUGUAUUAACUAAGUUUGGGGGUGACAUACUUUUAAAUCUUUAUCUGCGUUCAUCAGCAUCUGUAUUCCAUGAUAGCAUAAUGUAUGCAUGAUGAGUGUUAAAAAUAAAUAAAAUAAAAUAAAAUUUCAUGCAUGAUUGUAUGGGCUUGAUAACCUUGCUAGCUAUGAUGUUAUUAUUGG
RNAcentral lists this long non-coding RNA (3451 nucleotides) under Olea europaea subsp. europaea. The record is from RNAcentral. Lineage: Eukaryota; Viridiplantae; Streptophyta; Magnoliopsida; Lamiales; Oleaceae.